Molecule: transfer RNA, 75 nt
Filed under: Fidelibacterota bacterium
Lineage: Bacteria; Pseudomonadati; Fidelibacterota
Also listed under: 1 other name
Description: tRNA-Glu
Rfam family: tRNA
About the family: Transfer RNA (tRNA) molecules are approximately 80 nucleotides in length. Their secondary structure includes four short double-helical elements and three loops (D, anti-codon, and T loops).
Source: RNAcentral
GGUCCCAUAGUUUAUCGGUUAGAAUGCUGGGUUUUCACCCCGGUGGGACGGGUUCGAUUCCCGUUGGGACUACCA